Peromyscus eremicus (cactus mouse) is the source of this 513-nucleotide long non-coding RNA. RefSeq lists it as uncharacterized. The transcript is spliced from 3 exons. NCBI's taxonomy places the organism in Eukaryota, Metazoa, Chordata, Mammalia, Rodentia, Cricetidae. The record is from RefSeq and is a predicted model, not a curated record.
UCCUCACUCCCUCAGACACCCUUCAUAUCCCUAACAGGCAUCGGCUCACCCCAUUCUGAAUUUCUAGAUCAGAAACCAGGGAGACCUUCUGAUUCUUCACCCAGGAGGGUACGAACAAAUAGUCUAAAGGACAAUGGCAUGGUAGAGCACACCUUCAAUCCCAGCACUCUAGACAAUCUCUGUGAAGUGCGAGAAACCUCCGCCUCCGCCAAAGAGAACAGCUUUUCACUUUUUCUGGAAGCUCCUUAAUGAAGUUCCGCUAGAAGGGUGCCAACAAGCCAACUGUUAUCUCAGCCUGGAGAAAGCACAAUGAUCAUUUAUAGAUCAGAAACAAAGGACUUGUUUCCAGGCAGAAAAUGGAGGGGAAGAGUCUAGUUGAAAUGACAGAUAGGCCUAUGUCGGUGAUGUGGAAGGACUUGGGAAGACCAGUUGGAAGCUUGGUGUUUCUCAGAGCAGAGCAGCUAAAAUGGGCUUAGUCAAUUUGGUUCAGCAGUACAGGUGCAAUGCAAGCAC